GACGAACGCUGGCGGCGUGCCUAACACAUGCAAGUCGAACGGAAAGGCCCUGCUUUUGCUGGGUGCUCGAUUGGCGAACGGGUGAGUAACACGUGUGUAACCUGUCCCUGUCUUUGGGAUAACAUCAGGAAACAGGGGCUAAUACCGGAUAGGAGCUCUUGCUGCAUGGUGGGGGUUGGAAAGUUUGGGCGGUUCGGGAUGGACUCGCGGCUUAUCCGCUUGUUGGUGUAGUAAUGGCUUACCAAGGUUUUGACGGGUAGCCGGCAUGGGAGGGUAAACAGCGUCAUGAGGACUAAGAGAGGGAGCAGUAGGCAACGGGAGGCAGUGGGGGGGAAUAUGGCGCAGUAGCGGGGAGCCUGAUGCGACGGCGCCGGGUGCGGAAUGCCGGCCUACGGGUUGUAAACCACUGUCGAAUGAGACGAGGCGGGAGUGACGGUAAUGGAUAAGGAAGCACCGGCUAACUACGUG
This 468-nucleotide ribosomal RNA is filed under the name uncultured bacterium. RNAcentral describes it as "partial 16S ribosomal RNA". It matches the Rfam family "Bacterial small subunit ribosomal RNA", at positions 28 to 507 of the family's 1533-position model. The record is from RNAcentral.